CACGCAGGUGGCUGAGAAAGUCGAUUGUGAAAGCCCUGGGCUUAACCUGGGAAUUGCGGUCGAAACUACUCGGCUAGAGUAUGGGAGAGGGUAGUGGAAUUCCCGGUGUAGCGGUGAAAUGCGUAGAUAUCGGGAGGAACAUCAGUGGCGAAGGCGGCUACCUGGCCCAAUACUGACACUCAGGUGCGACAGCGUGGGGAGCAAACA
RNAcentral lists this ribosomal RNA (207 nucleotides) under uncultured bacterium. Its description in RNAcentral is "partial 16S ribosomal RNA". It matches the Rfam family "Bacterial small subunit ribosomal RNA", at positions 568 to 774 of the family's 1533-position model. The record is from RNAcentral.